UCUACAGGCUUAACACAUGCAAGUCGAGGGGCAGCAUGGUCUUAGCUUGCUAAGGCCGAUGGCGACCGGCGCACGGGUGAGUAACGCGUAUCCAACCUGCCUUACACUCUUGGACAGCCUUCUGAAAGGGAGAUUAAUACAAGAUGUUAUCAUGAGUAAGCAUUUUCGCAUGAUUAAAGGUUUACCGGUGUAAGAUGGGGAUGCGUUCCAUUAGAUAGUAGGCGGGGUAACGGCCCACCUAGUCUUCGAUGGAUAGGGGUUCUGAGAGGAAGGUCCCCCACAUUGGAACUGAGACACGGUCCAAACUCCUACGGGAGGCAGCAGUGAGGAAUAUUGGUCAAUGGACGAGAGUCUGAACCAGCCAAGUAGCGUGAAGGAUGAAGGUUCUAUGGAUUGUAAACUUCUUUUAUACGGGAAUAAACGAAUCCACGUGUGGAUUUUUGCAUGUACCGUAUGAAUAAGGAUCGGCUAACUCCGUGCCAGCAGCCGCGGUAAUACGGAGGAUCCGAGCGUUAUCCGGAUUUAUUGGGUUUAAAGGGAGCGUAGAUGGGUUGUUAAGUCAGUUGUGAAAGUUUGCGGCUCAACCGUAAAAUUGCAAUUGAUACUGGCAGUCUUGAGUACAGUUGAGGUAGGCGGAAUUCGUGGUGUAGCGGUGAAAUGCUUAGAUAUCACGAAGAACUCCGAUUGCGAAGGCAGCUUACUAACCUGUAACUGACAUUGAUGCUCGAAAGUGUGGGUAUCAAACAGGAUUAGAUACCCUGGUAGUCCACACGGUAAACGAUGAAUACUCGCUGUAGGCGAUAUACAGUCUGCGGCCAAGCGAAAGCAUUAAGUAUUCCACCUGGGGAGUACGCCGGCAACGGUGAAACUCAAAGGAAUUGACGGGGGCCCGCACAAGCGGAGGAACAUGUGGUUUAAUUCGAUGAUACGCGAGGAACCUUACCCGGGCUUAAAUUGCAACCGAAUAUGGCGGAAACGCUAUAGCUAGCAAUAGCGGUUGUGAAGGUGCUGCAUGGUUGUCGUCAGCUCGUGCCGUGAGGUGUCGGCUUAAGUGCCAUAACGAGCGCAACCCUUGCCGAUAGUUACUAACAGGUCAUGCUGAGGACUCUGUCGGGACUGCCAUCGUAAGAUGUGAGGAAGGUGGGGAUGACGUCAAAUCAGCACGGCCCUUACGUCCGGGGCUACACACGUGUUACAAUGGGGGGUACAGAGGGCUGCUACCACGCAAGUGGAUGCCAAUCCCAAAAACCUCUCUCAGUUCGGAUUGAAGUCUGCAACCCGACUUCAUGAAGCUGGAUUCGCUAGUAAUCGCGCAUCAGCCACGGCGCGGUGAAUACGUUCCCGGGCCUUGUACACACCGCCCGUCAAGCCAUGGGAGCCGGGGGUACCUGAAGUGCGUAACCGCAAGGAGCGCCCUAGGGUAAAACUGGUGACUGGG
Molecule: ribosomal RNA, 1438 nt
Filed under: uncultured organism
Description: SSU rRNA
Rfam family: Bacterial small subunit ribosomal RNA
Source: RNAcentral